UUGUCCAGACAAAAUACUUCUUUUAGUACAUAACACUAGCUCAAAUUAACAGCUUUUAUGCAAAUCUUUUGGAUUAUCACUACCCAUGAACCACCGGGUUGAACUCAGAUGAAUAGUUCCAUCUUAUUCAACAAAAUCAAAUCAAAUGGUAGUAGCACUGAAAUGGGAAACAAUCUGAAUACAUUAAAUAAUUUUUAAUGGUCCAAUUCAAUUUGUGAGGUCAAACAAAAUUGGCCAAUUCAGGAUAUCACUGAGCAAAAGCCCUUCAAUCCUUCCUAUUAUACUUGCCCGUACUCUAGAUUUCAUGUCAUUGGUUGUUAGAUGCUGCAGAAAAUUUCUUUGAUCUCUUGCUUGCCUGUAUCUUAGAAUAAAGCUGCUUUGUUCUAAUUGCCAACAGAACAUCCAAACCGAAUCCAAUGACGCAUGAAAUCGCCAUAAUAAUGAACACAGCCCUAUAGCAAUGGGCACCAACACAAGUGUUGCCACCUCCUGGUAUGGGGGUAGCUUCUGCAUCAUAUAAAAGUCCAGCAAGCAGACCAGA
RNAcentral lists this unclassified non-coding RNA (541 nucleotides) under Hevea brasiliensis (rubber tree). Lineage: Eukaryota; Viridiplantae; Streptophyta; Magnoliopsida; Malpighiales; Euphorbiaceae. The record is from RNAcentral.